RNAcentral lists this ribosomal RNA (438 nucleotides) under uncultured Desulfobulbus sp. RNAcentral describes it as "bacterial SSU rRNA". It matches the Rfam family "Bacterial small subunit ribosomal RNA", at positions 948 to 1382 of the family's 1533-position model. Lineage: Bacteria; Pseudomonadati; Thermodesulfobacteriota; Desulfobulbia; Desulfobulbales; Desulfobulbaceae. The record is from RNAcentral.
AAUUCGAUGCAACGCGAAGAACUUACCUGGUCUUGACAUCCCGGAGACCCUUAGGAAACUAGGGGUGCUUCCAUCUGGAAGAAUCUGGAGACAGGUGCUGCAUGGCUGUCGUCAGCUCGUGUCGUGAGAUGUUGGGUUAAGUCCCGCAACGAGCGCAACCCUUGCCUUUAGUUGCCAGCAGUUCGGCUGGGCACUCUAAAGGGACUGCCGGUGUUAAACCGGAGGAAGGUGGGGAUGACGUCAAGUCCUCAUGGCCUUUAUGACCAGGGCUACACACGUACUACAAUGGCCGAUACAAAGGGCAGCGACACUGCGAGGUGAAGCCAAUCCCGUAAAAUCGGUCUCAGUCCGGAUUGGAGUCCGCAACUCGACUCCAUGAAGUUGGAAUCGCUAGUAAUCGUGGAUCAGCAUGCCACGGUGAAUACGUUCCCGGGCCUU